Small nucleolar RNA from Dendrobium catenatum, 106 nucleotides. Lineage: Eukaryota; Viridiplantae; Streptophyta; Magnoliopsida; Asparagales; Orchidaceae. The record is from RefSeq and is a predicted model, not a curated record.
AAGGCAUGAUAAGAAUAUUUCCUAAACAAUUCUUUAAAUAUUUUCCAUGAUUCAUAAAUAGAUUCAACGUCUACUAGGCAAAAGAUGCGAUGUCAUUUCUAAGUUU